GCGAUAGCGCCUAGUGCGAGUGGUUUUGAGGAUUGCGAGGAAGAGCAUCCAAAGCUAGAUUCUUGUAGUGAUUAUGUUAUGGAUCGGUGUGUGAUGAAGGAUAUGCCGCUCUCUUGGAUCUUUCCUCGGACUUGGGGGAAGAGAAGUUGUGAGGAGGUCCGAAACCAGUGUUGUCAGCAAUUGAGACAAACGACGCCGCGUUGCCGCUGCAAGGCUAUUUGGACAUCAAUCCAAGGUGAUCUAAGUGGCUUCAAGGGCGUUCAACAAGGUUUGAAAGCCAGAACGGUGCAGACGGCGAAGAGCCUUCCCUCCAAGUGCAACAUUGAUCCAAAAUACUGCAACAUCCCCAUCACUAGCGGAUAUUACUGGUGAUGUAGCUUCCAUUAGUGACCAAUAAACUAUCACAUACCACUGUAUGUGACCAAUAAAUGUGACCAUGGAAUAAUAUAUACUAUAGUUUCCCUUAUGUAUGUAUGUGUUUCUCUUACAAACAUCUAAUUAUGCAUGUGUCUAUCAAGAAAAUAAUGUUAAUUGUGCCAAUACAAAAGGAAUGUGUGGAAGUGCAUAUAGGCCUCUGUGUUUUGGUAUAGAUGGC
Molecule: long non-coding RNA, 595 nt
Filed under: Triticum aestivum (bread wheat)
Lineage: Eukaryota; Viridiplantae; Streptophyta; Magnoliopsida; Poales; Poaceae
Description: long non-coding RNA (TAES_LNC006559)
Source: RNAcentral